This 363-nucleotide ribosomal RNA is filed under the name Citrobacter sp. CK207. RNAcentral's name for it is "bacterial SSU rRNA". It matches the Rfam family "Bacterial small subunit ribosomal RNA", at positions 1 to 360 of the family's 1533-position model. Lineage: Bacteria; Pseudomonadati; Pseudomonadota; Gammaproteobacteria; Enterobacterales; Enterobacteriaceae. The record is from RNAcentral.
AAAUUGAAGAGUUUGAUCAUGGCUCAGAUUGAACGCUGGCGGCAGGCCUAACACAUGCAAGUCGAACGGUAACAGGAAGCAGCUUGCUGCUUUGCUGACGAGUGGCGGACGGGUGAGUAAUGUCUGGGAAACUGCCUGAUGGAGGGGGAUAACUACUGGAAACGGUAGCUAAUACCGCAUAACGUCGCAAGACCAAAGAGGGGGACCUUCGGGCCUCUUGCCAUCAGAUGUGCCCAGAUGGGAUUAGCUUGUUGGUGGGGUAACGGCUCACCAAGGCGACGAUCCCUAGCUGGUCUGAGAGGAUGACCAGCCACACUGGAACUGAGACACGGUCCAGACUCCUACGGGAGGCAGCAGUGGGGA